GGCGAGUGGCGAACGGGUGAGUAAUACAUCGGAACGUGCCCUGUAGUGGGGGAUAACUAGUCGAAAGACUAGCUAAUACCGCAUACGACCUGAGGGUGAAAGUGGGGGACCGCAAGGCCUCAUGCUAUAGGAGCGGCCGAUGUCUGAUUAGCUAGUUGGUGGGGUAAAGGCCCACCAAGGCGACGAUCAGUAGCUGGUACUGAGAGGACGAUCAGCCACACUGGGACUGAGUCCC
RNAcentral lists this ribosomal RNA (235 nucleotides) under Ralstonia solanacearum. Its description in RNAcentral is "partial 16S ribosomal RNA". It matches the Rfam family "Bacterial small subunit ribosomal RNA", at positions 90 to 327 of the family's 1533-position model. The record is from RNAcentral. Lineage: Bacteria; Pseudomonadati; Pseudomonadota; Betaproteobacteria; Burkholderiales; Burkholderiaceae.